This is an RNA transcript of Ricinus communis (castor bean), 3297 nucleotides long. It is a transcript of the gene named kanadaptin, with no coding region annotated. The record is from RefSeq and is a predicted model, not a curated record. NCBI's taxonomy places the organism in Eukaryota, Viridiplantae, Streptophyta, Magnoliopsida, Malpighiales, Euphorbiaceae. The transcript is spliced from 13 exons.
AAAACCGCGGGAUAUGUACAAGUAACCCGACCCACCCGUUUUGCCGCCUGCAAUUUUCAAGAUCUGUUAAAAACACUCUUCUGGUGGCGCGUUUGGCCUGCUUCACACCCCUCUCUCUUUCCGCAUCCAAAAAUGACGACCGCCAUGGGACCACCACCUCCUAGAAACCCUAAACCCUCCUCCUCCUCAUCUUCCAUCACCACAGAAUCCGAAAUAAUCGACCAACCUCAAGACACUUCAAUAACGACAACGACGACGACGACGACGACGACAAUGAUAAUUCCCAUGGGCCCAGAGCCAGAAAGAACCACAGGCCCUCCCGAACCAGAACCUAUCGAAGGAAAACCUAAAUCCAAAAAUUCUCUCGAUCCUAUUACGACAGCGUCUAAAGAACAGUCAGCGAAGCGAUCCUCCUCUUCGGUGCCGUACAAGAUUCCUGAAUGGAGUGGACCGCCUUGUCAUAACUAUUACAUUGAAGUUCUUAAAGAUGGCUCUGUUAUUGAUCAAUUAGACGUAUUUGAGAAAGGAGCUUAUAUGUUUGGACGUAUUGAUCUCUGUGAUUUUAUACUUGAACAUCCUACUAUCUCUCGGUUUCACUCUGUUCUUCAGUUCAAAAGAAGUGGAGAUGCUUACCUUUAUGACCUCAGUAGUACUCAUGGUACUUUCAUCAACAAGUCCCAGAUUGAGAACCAAGUUUAUGUGGAAUUACAUGUUGGUGAUGUCAUGCGGUUUGGCCAGUCAUCUCGAUUGUACGUAUUCCAAGGACCAACCGAGUUGAUGCCACCUGAAAAAGACUUGAAGAUGCUUAGAGAAGCGAAGAUCCGGCAAGAGAUGCUUGAUCGGGAAUCUUCACUUCGACGAGCAAGAGCAGAAGCAUCUCUUGCUGAUGGUAUCUCAUGGGGCAUGCAAGAAGAUGCUAUUGAAGAAGAUGAGGAUGAUGGUGAUGAAAUUACUUGGCAAACCUACAAAGGAAAACUUACAGAGAAGCAGGAGAAAACCCGUGAUAAAAUUAUUAAACGAACUGAAAAGAUUGCUCAUAUGAAGAAAGAAAUAGAUGCUAUCCGUGCUAAAGACAUUGCUCAAGGUGGGUUGACGCAGGGGCAGCAAACUCAAAUUGCUCGUAAUGAACAAAGAAUGACAGAGAUCCUGGAAGAACUGGAAAACCUGGAAGAGACAUUAAAUGAAAGUAUCCAGGAAAGUAUUGGUGCUCGUGUUGGAAGGAAAUCUGGUGGUAUGAGAAAAGGGGCAGCGGAAGAUGAUGAAGGUUUCUUGAGUGAUGAUGAUGAAUUCUAUGACCGGACAAAGAAACUUUCAAUACAGAAGGCAAAUGAAACUCGAUCAGUUGAAACUGCCGAUACACUUCUUGACAAGAGAGAUGCCAUCAUGAAGGAAAUGGAGGACAAAAAAGAGGCACUUUUGACUGAGAAGAAUAAAAUGGCAUCUGAAACUGCUGUAGAAACUGAAGCUGGAGAUGCACUUGAUGCUUACAUGUCAGGGCUUUCAUCUCAAUUAGUGCUCGAUAAGACAUUGCAACUUGAAAAAGAGUUGGCUGCUCUUCAAUCUGAACUGGAUAGGAUAUUCUUCCUGUUGAAAAUUGCUGACCCAUCAGGAGAAGCUGCUAAGAAAAGGGAUUCAACAGUACCAGAAGUGAAACUCAAUAAACCUGAAGCACCUGUUGUUACUACCAAAAAGCAGCCAACUGCGAAACAAAAGAAAAGCAGUGGGGUGGGAAAGUCAAUAGAGGUGUCUAUGAAGAAAGACAACACUCCAAAUUCCACAGUUGCUGGCACAGAAUCAGACAAUAAGCCAGAAGCUGACAAGACUCUAGUUGAUGCACCAGAGGUUACACCUUAUACUGUUGUAGAGCCUCAAUGGCUUGGUGCAGUGGAUCAUAAGGAAGUUGAAGAGACCAAACAAGAAAUUUUGAAUUUAGAUGAGGCUAACCAAUUUGUUGAUUAUAAAGACAGGCAAAGAAUCCUUCUUAGUGUUGAUGAUGCAAGGAAUAAGGUGGAUUCAGGCAUUGAAGAUGCUGCUCCUGGGUUGAUACUGAGGAAGCCAAAGGAAACUGUGAGACCUGGAAUUAGUGACUUGGAUCAUUCCCCAGCAUCCUCUGUAGAAGCCAAGUUCGCAGCAGAAGAUGCUGUGGCAUUAUUACUGAAGCAUAAAAGAGGGUAUCAUGCCGAAGAAGAGGGAGGAGGACAUGAAAGGCAAGAGAUACGCAAAGAACAGCAUAAAAAGGAUAGCAAAAGACCAAAAAGAGUGCUUGGACCUGAGAAACCAUCUUUUAUCAAUAGUAAUUCAGAUAAUGAAACUUGGGUGCCUCCUGAAGGACAAUCAGGUGAUGGACGAACCUUUCUGAAUGAUCGUUAUGGGUAUUGAAUUAUCAUUCUCGGCUUGUCAUGAGUUCAGGCCCAAAGCAUAGGAGUGCAAGCAUGUUUAUGAGGGAACGGUGACACUAAGCCCGGCUUAUGCUUGGUUUGUCAUGAUUUCCGCCCCAAAGCAUGAGUAUGCAAGCAUGUUUAUAAGGGAAUGGUGACACUAAUCUCGGUUUAACGAGGCCACUGCACAGUUGAGGUUAAAUCAUCCUGCAGAAUUAGGGCCUUUAGUUCUCCACUUCUAACGCAAAUAGAGAGCUGAUAGCUGCUCAGUGUUAUUGACCUGAUCGAAUUUAGCCAAAUGUACAUCUGAAAACAUUUAGGUUGGAGAUGGUUGUCAAGGACUUCUUCUGAAUGGAUAAGAGGCCUGAGGCAAAACUCAACCUCCAACCAUCAUAGGAAGAAAAGAAGAAGCUCAAGUAGAAACAUACCAGAACCAAAACUUAAUGAGUUCCUUGAAUUCAAUGCAGAAGCAAUUGAAUCCCUCAAGUUACUUCUACAGCAAAAGCUUGAAAAUGGGGAAGAUGAGGAAGCUUUAAAGAAACUAAGCCGCCUAGUCGAGGCACAACCAUUGGUUACAGAGUGGAAAUUCUCGAUGGUAAGAUUGUUAAAUGAAAUGGGUAGAACACAGGUUGCACGUAGCAUGUUUGAAGAAAUUCUUCAAAUGAAGGCAUUGUUUGUGAAUGCACUUCUAAUGGACCGAUGUGUAGAAGGGGAUGCAGUUAUAAGGAGGCUACAAGAGUCUUUAGACAUUGCAGAAGAGGGGAAUAAAGUGAAUGAGCUAGAGAUGUGAGGCUUAUUGUAGCACAUAUACAGUUGAGGAAAUUACAUUAAAAAAACUGUACUUUUAGAAAAGAAUAUCAUUUUUAUUGUGAUUUUUUUUAUACAAUAUUUUAUUUAUACUGAUUUUAACUUUUUUAUA